UCGCGGAAAGAAACCUAAGCGAGAUUUCGUUAUAACACCAAGUUUAUUUUAAAGAAUAGAAACAGAUUUGUAAUGCGUCCUCCACGGCUGGAGUCCGGCUCAGAAUUGAACGUCUGUUCUUAUUUACAAACAACAAACUCGUUGCUAAACAAAUCUCUCCCAGGCAACUGGCCGAUUAGCAUCCAUAUUAUCGAUCGGUCCUACAGCUGACUGACGGCGCGAAGUAUACCGGGCGAUGCGCGGCGCGCAACAAUAUAAUUUUAAACCUGUAAACUUUAAGUCUAUAACUGGAAAUAAUGAUAACUUUAAGUAUAAAUUCUAAUAAAAGCAUAAGUGUGUCAAAAUUUAAAUUUAAUUCUAAACUUUCAAAAUUAUCUUCUAUCAUACCUUCGAUAUUGUCGCUGCUGUCAGUCAACUCAACUCAAUUCAACUCAAUAGCAAUACAAGACACCAUUAAGUUGUCAUAAAGUGUGAUGAGAACAGAGAGUUAUGCCUAUCAUAUAUUUCGUCCAUACGGAAUAUUAACUCAAAUAGACAAUCGGAAACAUCCUAUAGUGGCUCCUGGCACUGAAAAGGUUCUAGCUCUGGGGGAUCGUCGUCGGAAUCGCUGAGCGUAAUUAUCUCAGGCGCGUUGGACGUUAACUGGUUAUAAUUUUCCAGAGGGACGGUGUCCUCUUGGAACAAGUGUAAGAUAUUUCCCAGGAGAACCGAGGGAGGUGCAGAUAGACUCCCGGCGAAGCUGUUCGUGCUGUCAGCUCCGCGUUCCGGAGGAGAGUCCCGGAGCCGGUGUCGCUCGGACCGUUGGGAGCUGCUCCGAAAUUCCCUCUCCACUUGGCAUGCGCGUGAAUACGUAAUGUCCGGCGGGAGCGUAAGCGGUUUCCGGGAGGAACUGUCGCUCCGCCUGUCAUGCGCCAGUAACGCCAUCUGUUCGCACGCGUAAGUAUUAACUACCGCAACGGGAGGAAAGUGCAGCCGGUGCGGCACCUGCACCCUAAAUCUCACAGUUCGGCCAGCCUGACGGUGCUUCGUCCCGAAGUACAGUUCUCUACAAGUUAGAUUUUGCCGGGAUUAUUAAACACAAGUAUCACAGGUCGUUGUCCACUUGCUGCAACGCCUUGGUAAAUUGCGCCAAGUGAGAAUCAGAGAGAUUACGCCGGUCGUAUGCCAACAUGAGUUGAGACGGAGUGGUCUUAAUGACAGAGUGAAAGCGGUUCUGUUUUUCGACCAGUCCAUUCGCCCAUGGGGAAGCUACAGCUACCUUUCUGUGUUUAAAUCCGGCAAGUUUUGCAUACUGCUCGAACUCGUGCAAGCCCUCUGACGUUUCCGGCAGCGGGCCGAAGUGGUCAACGUGCAGGGUGUUCAAUGGGAUGCUCGUAGCAGCGGACCACUGAACUUCAUUUUCCCUACUAUGCGAGGAGGAAUUUGACAUCAGACAGCACCACAAUGGCCCAUCUCCUCGUGAUGUGCUCUGAUGAUAUUGAUGAUCAUGGAUUCUGGGACUAUAAAUUUUGGAUCUGAUAGUUGCCGAUAUUGAAGUUCGCAUUCGAGAGGCAUGGCAUCUACAUAUGCCACCGCACGACUCAACGCAUCCACGUGUCGCAUUUUGUCGCCAGGGCGAUGCGCUAUGCCGAAGUCGUAAUUCUGC
Long non-coding RNA from Monomorium pharaonis (pharaoh ant), 1645 nucleotides. RefSeq lists it as uncharacterized. The transcript has 8 exons. The record is from RefSeq and is a predicted model, not a curated record. NCBI's taxonomy places the organism in Eukaryota, Metazoa, Arthropoda, Insecta, Hymenoptera, Formicidae.